RNAcentral lists this ribosomal RNA (145 nucleotides) under Klebsiella quasipneumoniae. RNAcentral's name for it is "partial 16S rRNA. Bacterial SSU". It matches the Rfam family "Bacterial small subunit ribosomal RNA", at positions 1 to 139 of the family's 1533-position model. The record is from RNAcentral. Lineage: Bacteria; Pseudomonadati; Pseudomonadota; Gammaproteobacteria; Enterobacterales; Enterobacteriaceae.
UUAAAUUGAAGAGUUUGAUCAUGGCUCAGAUUGAACGCUGGCGGCAGGCCUAACACAUGCAAGUCGAGCGGUAGCACAGAGAGCUUGCUCUCGGGUGACGAGCGGCGGACGGGUGAGUAAUGUCUGGGAAACUGCCUGAUGGAGG